This 425-nucleotide ribosomal RNA is filed under the name uncultured microorganism. RNAcentral's name for it is "bacterial SSU rRNA". It matches the Rfam family "Bacterial small subunit ribosomal RNA", at positions 9 to 415 of the family's 1533-position model. The record is from RNAcentral.
GAGUUUGAUCGUGGCUCAGAACGAACGUUGGCGGCGUGCUUAACACAUGCAAGUCGAACGAGAACGGUUCCUUCGGGAGCUUAGUAAAGUGGCGCACGGGUGAGUAACACGUAGAUAACCUGUCCAGGUGUUCGGGAUAGCCCUUCGAAAGGGGGGAUUAAUACCGGAUACGUUAGUCUGUUAUAAGGCAGAUUAAGAAAGGUGGCCUCUAUUUAUAAGCUAUCGCAUUUGGAGGGGUCUGCGUACCAUUAGUUUGUUGGUGGGGUAAAGGCCUACCAAGACUUCGAUGGUUAGCGGGUCGUGAGAGGAUGAUCCGUCACACUGGCACUGAAACACGGGCCAGACUCCUACGGGAGGCAGCAGUGAGGAAUAUUGCGCAAUGGGGGGAAACCCUGACGCAGCGACGCCGCGUGGGUGAGGAAGGC